Molecule: ribosomal RNA, 222 nt
Filed under: uncultured bacterium
Lineage: Bacteria
Description: partial 16S ribosomal RNA
Rfam family: Bacterial small subunit ribosomal RNA
Source: RNAcentral
AGCAAUGCUUGGGAAUCUAGCUUAUGGAGGGGGAUAACUACGGGAAACUGUAGCUAAUACCGCGUAAUAUCGAAAGAUUAAAGUGUGGGACCUCCGGGCCACAUGCCAUAGGAUGAGCCCAAGUGGGAUUAGGUAGUUGGUGAGGUAAGGGCUCACCAAGCCGACGAUCUCUAGCUGGUCUGAGAGGAUGACCAGCCACACUGGGACUGAGACACGGCCCAG